CUGGCAUGGGACUUUGAUUUUAUUGUGAUUGCACAGAAAGCUAACCUCUGCUUCUGUGGAUGGAUCGGUUUCCCUAGCUGCACACACUUCUCCUGGAAUGGCUCUAACUCCCCAGUAUCUGCUUCCAACAAACUUCUCUCCAGGCUAAACAGACACUUGCUACUCACACCACAGUGCAGGGGGAGUGAUGCUGAAAAAAGAAGAUGUGGUGUAGCUGACAUCUUGGCUUGUCUUGUGAUCUGAGUAACGUCGGAACGAUUCCAUCAAUGCUGUCAGGAACAGGUUCCAGAGCCCUCCAGGUAUCUGUCAGACACCACAAGCAAUCUGGGGAAGGAAUGCUGCAUGGCAGAGACAUCUGCUGGGUGCUGCUUGCACUCCUCCCACGCCUCCUGGUUCAGCUCUCUGGGAGUGUGGAUCCUUGGAGAAGCCCUGGGAGAAGCUGCCUCCAGCUGGGGAGACGCAUUUUAGGUUUCACCUGCAUUCUCCUUCCUUCUCUAAGUACCAGGUGGACAAGAAGCAAAUCUCCCCUCACCAUUAAUAAGAGAACUUGUAGCCAGUGAACUGUGAUUUGUUUGCUGCAAUGAAUAUAUUUAUUGCAAAGUUUUGAGAACCGGUGUGCUUGAUGUGUGGAAAGCUUCUGCCUUGCACACUGAACAGAAUGAACAGUGUCUCCUUUCCGAACCUGGCUCUUGGCCGUGUGAAAGACACCACGGCCAGGCUCUCUCGAAACCCUGCCAGAGAGGGUUUCGAUACUUUCUAGCUGAGAACCGAGG
RNAcentral lists this long non-coding RNA (773 nucleotides) under Zonotrichia albicollis (white-throated sparrow). RNAcentral's name for it is "lncRNA (ENSZALG00000012266.1)". The record is from RNAcentral. Lineage: Eukaryota; Metazoa; Chordata; Aves; Passeriformes; Passerellidae.